This 473-nucleotide ribosomal RNA is filed under the name uncultured bacterium. Its description in RNAcentral is "bacterial SSU rRNA". It matches the Rfam family "Bacterial small subunit ribosomal RNA", at positions 355 to 825 of the family's 1533-position model. The record is from RNAcentral.
UGGGGAAUAUUGCGCAAUGGGCGAAAGCCUGACGCAGCAACGCCGCGUGAGUGAUGAAGGCCUUCGGGUCGUAAAGCUCUGUCGGAGGGAACGAAUGCUCUUGAGGUUAAUAGCCUCGGGAGGUGACGGUACCCUCAAAGGAAGCACCGGCUAACUCUGUGCCAGCAGCCGCGGUAAUACGAAGGGGGCUAGCGUUGUUCGGAUUUACUGGGCGUAAAGCGCGUGUAGGCGGGUCGUUAAGUUGGGGGUGAAAUCCCGAGGCUCAACCUCGGAACUGCCUUCAAAACUGGCGACCUGGACUCAAGCAGAGGCAAGUGGAAUUGCGAGUGUAGAGGUGAAAUUCGUAGAUAUUCGCAGGAACACCAGUGGCGAAGGCGACUUGCUGGGCUUGUAGUGACGCUGAGACGCGAAAGCGUGGGGAGCAAACAGGAUUAGAUACCCCCGUAGUCCCUGAGCGGGCUGGCAAGGCGCAU